Long non-coding RNA from Prosopis cineraria, 1403 nucleotides. RefSeq lists it as uncharacterized. The record is from RefSeq and is a predicted model, not a curated record. Lineage: Eukaryota; Viridiplantae; Streptophyta; Magnoliopsida; Fabales; Fabaceae. The transcript has 3 exons.
AAUGCCGUAUAAAAUAAGCAAGGAAGUCUUAUAAAAAAUCUUCUCUCAGAUCCAUGUAUUAAUUAAACCUCCCCUCGAGCCGUGCGUUGAUGGCGUGAAGCUGACACUGCAGCUAAAGUCAGGUUUGAAGGGGGUCUUUAUUGAUCCCCCCCCCCCCGGGCCCAAAUUUGCUGCCUCUUUUUUUAAGGGAAUAAAAACAAAUACUAGCAUCCGAAAACGAAGGUGGAUCUCUUCUGCGUCCUAGGAGUUGUGCGAUUCUGUUCGUCUUUCUUCGGCAAAUUCGCUCGCGAUCAUCGCCUCCUUGAAAUGAUUUUCGUAUCUCUUUAGCCGGCGAUUUCCGUUUGUCUCUUCGGCGAUCCACUCGCAACAACAAAAGGAUGCAGGUUCGUGUGGCGUCCGCGUUCGGUGCUCAGCGGAAAGAUGAGCACCGAAUGCUCACCAGGAAGGCGACGCCGUUGAUUUACUUUAGGUUCAGAUCACAUGUAAUUCUUUUUCUCGCAUUUUCAUCUGAAGCUUGAAAGUAUGGGGGACCUUGAAGUAGAGGCUGAACGGUGGAUGACGGGGCCAACCAUGAAUUCGUCCGUGGACUUCGGGGGUGAUGCAGAAUGAGUGACAUUCCAUGGAUUCCUCCCACUUUUCCUUUAUUUCGUGUUGGGCUAAUCUUAUUGAGGCAUUUGAAUUUUUUUCCCCCUUUAUCAAUUAUAAUUUGAUUAUUAUUUUGAUAGGAAGUAGAAUAAAAACUUUUUUAAUGGCUUGUGAUUUCUGGUUGAUGAGACAUUCCCCGUUUCUGGGAAUAGUAUAAUUGGACUUGACUUUGCUGGAUUUAAGUUAAACAUGUUGCAACAAUAUUUAAAUAUAUUCUGGAAAUAGUUUUCCAGGAGCAAAAUUGGACUUGACUUUACUAGAUUUAAGUUAAAGAUGCUGCAACAAUAUUUGGAUGGCUUUGUGAUAUUAGCUUUGUUAAUCUGGGUUGUUAAAUAUCGUGACUGGGACUGUUAAUCUGGAUGGUAUGCUGCUAAAUUUAAUUGAUCAAUUUUCAAGCAUGGAUUCUGGUUUUUCUGAAAGAUUCUGCUACAUUUAUUGCUUUCUUAUUGCUGUAGGGAGUAAUUGUACGUGAAAAUUUUCGUGAAUAAUUGUACAUGUUGAACUGAGAUGUGCACAACUUGUUCUCUUGCUGAAGCAGAUACAUAAAAGCAAGACUGAAAGUUGUCAAAAACUGAGCAAUGCAAGCUGAAGGCCAGCAAAUUAAGAAAGAGAUGUCAGAAAGAGAACAUUUAUUAUUUUUAUUUUUUGAAUGAAAUUUAUGAGUUGUUUUUUGGUUCCAUGUAAUUCCAGUAAUAAUAGCUGCACAAAGUAGUCGUAAAUGAAGAUUUCAAACGAAUAGCGGUAUUUAUUCAUUUUCA